RNAcentral lists this ribosomal RNA (432 nucleotides) under uncultured bacterium. RNAcentral describes it as "partial 16S ribosomal RNA". It matches the Rfam family "Bacterial small subunit ribosomal RNA", at positions 338 to 795 of the family's 1533-position model. The record is from RNAcentral.
CCUACGGGUGGCUGCAGUGGGGAAUAUUGGACAAUGGGCGCAAGCCUGAUCCAGCCAUGCCGCGUGAGUGAUGAAGGCCCUAGGGUUGUAAAGCUCUUUUACCCGGGAAGCGGUACCGGGAGAAUAAGCCCCGGCUAACUUCGUGCCAGCAGCCGCGGUAAUACGAAGGGGGCUAGCGUUGUUCGGAAUCACUGGGCGUAAAGCGCACGUAGGCGGAUCUUUAAGUCAGGGGUGAAAUCCCAAGGCUCAACCUUGGAACUGCCUUUGAUACUGGAGAUCUUGAGUCCGGGAGAGGUGAGUGGAACUGCGAGUGUAGAGGUGAAAUUCGUAGAUAUUCGCAAGAACACCAGUGGCGAAGGCGGCUCACUGGCCCGGACUGACGCUGAGGUGCGAAAGCGUGGGGAGCAAACAGGAUUAGAUACCCUUGUAGUC